GAUGAACGCUGGCGGCGUGCUUAACACAUGCAAGUCGAACGGAAAGGCUCCUGCUUGCAGGGGUACUCGAGUGGCGAACGGGUGAGUAACACGUGGGUGAUCUGCCCUGCACUUCGGGAUAAGCCUGGGAAACUGGGUCUAAUACCGGAUAGGACCACAUUUUGGAUGGUGUGGUGGAAAGUUUUUCGGUGUGGGAUGAGCUCGCGGCCUAUCAGCUUGUUGGUGGGGUAAUGGCCUACCAAGGCGUCGACGGGUAGCCGGCCUGUGAGGGUGUACGGCCAAUUUGGGGGAGUGAUACGCCCCAAGCACCCCCGGGGGGGGGAGGUGGGGAAAAUUGCACAAGGGGGGCAAGCGUGAGACGGCGCCGCGGCGUGGGGGAGAAUGCCCUCUGGGUUGUAAAACCUUCUCGCAGGGGACAAGGCCAAAGAGGGUGCCCCGGGAGAAAGAACCGCCGCAGACCGCGC
RNAcentral lists this ribosomal RNA (464 nucleotides) under uncultured bacterium. RNAcentral describes it as "partial 16S ribosomal RNA". It matches the Rfam family "Bacterial small subunit ribosomal RNA", at positions 28 to 508 of the family's 1533-position model. The record is from RNAcentral.